UUAAAGAAUUUGAAGACUUCAACUUAUAGACAUGGAGUAUUUGAAUACUUCGACUUGCAUCUUGAAGAAUUUGAAGACUUCAACU
This 85-nucleotide microRNA precursor is filed under the name Solanum lycopersicum (tomato). Its description in RNAcentral is "MIR8024 microRNA precursor family". It matches the Rfam family "MIR8024 microRNA precursor family". Lineage: Eukaryota; Viridiplantae; Streptophyta; Magnoliopsida; Solanales; Solanaceae. The record is from Rfam by way of RNAcentral.